GUCGAGCGAGACCUUCGGGUCUAGCGGCGGACGGGUUAGUAACGCGUGGGAACGUACCCUUUUCUACGGAAUAGCCUUUGGAAACGAAGAGUAAUACCGUAUACGCCCUUCGGGGGAAAGAUUUAUCGGAGAAGGAUCGGCCCGCGUUAGAUUAGAUAGUUGGUGGGGUAAUGGCCUACCAAGUCUACGAUCUAUAGCUGGUUUUAGAGGAUGAUCAGCAACACUGGGACUGAGACACGGCCCAGACUCCUACGGGAGGCAGCAGUGGGGAAUCUUAGACAAUGGGCGCAAGCCUGAUCUAGCCAUGCCGCGUGAGUGAAGAAGGCCUUAGGGUCGUAAAGCUCUUUCGCCAGGGAUGAUAAUGACAGUACCUGGUAAAGAAACCCCGGCUAACUCCGUGCCAGCAGCCGCGGUAAUACGGAGGGGGUUAGCGUUGUUCGGAAUUACUGGGCGUAAAGCGCACGUAGGCGGAUUAGAAAGUUAGAGGUGAAAUCCCAGGGCUCAACCCUGGAACUGCCUUUAAAACUCCUAGUCUUGAGUUCGAGAGAGGAAAGCAGAAUUUCUAGUGUAGAGGUGAAAUUCGUAGAUAUUAAGAAAGAAUACCAAUUGCGAAGGGCAGCUUUUCUGGAUCAUUACUGACACUGAGGAAC
RNAcentral lists this ribosomal RNA (650 nucleotides) under uncultured bacterium. Its description in RNAcentral is "bacterial SSU rRNA". It matches the Rfam family "Bacterial small subunit ribosomal RNA", at positions 61 to 754 of the family's 1533-position model. The record is from RNAcentral.